RNAcentral lists this long non-coding RNA (744 nucleotides) under Gossypium barbadense (sea-island cotton). Its description in RNAcentral is "long non-coding RNA (GBAR_LNC006644)". The record is from RNAcentral. Lineage: Eukaryota; Viridiplantae; Streptophyta; Magnoliopsida; Malvales; Malvaceae.
CAUAAUGCCAUAGGGAUCUGAAAACACCAUAUCCAUCCCAUUCAACUCCUUGUUUUGCUUAAUCACCAAAUCGUUCAAUUUGCUAUUGAACUCAGCCGCCAAAUUGUUGUAACUAUUGACGCACUCGCUUCCUCCCAUAAGAUUCCCGGUUCUCUCCAACGGCAUACACCCCAUCGGAGGCAACCCUCCUAACGAAAUCUUUCGGGCUCCAAGAUCGUAUAGUGCCUUGGUGAAAUUCCCGGCGAUCCCGACCAGGAAGUUUUCGUAUUCUUUAAUGGUGUAUUGCGAUGAACGUCCUGGGACCGCGUAGUAGUUCUCGAGGAAAUCGUUUGUUCCGACGCUUAUCAUGUAUAAAGCAUCUUUGAUUAUGUCGUUCGCUUUACCGUCUCCAAGGUUGGCUCUCAGUUUCGUUUGAUAAUCCUUGUAAUACUCCAGUUCUUUCCAUAGCGGUAUCACUGACUGCAAGACACAAUAUUAAAAUACAUCACGAGUAUACUGAGUAUGUAUACAUAUAUGAAGUGUAUGGUUAAUUUGAUGGAGACUUACGAGAACAUUGGAAGUGGCAUUGUCGUAGCCGGUUCCAGCAGAAGCGAAGGUAACUCCGGUGGCGAAAUCCGAUAUACUAUAUGAAGGGUCGAGGUAAGCAGGGAUGGCCCCUUUGAGACCAAACGCCUGGGAGAUGAAGUCGGUAGCGAUUUUGCCAUUGGAGAACCGACCUGUUGGAUGGCCACCAUUGAAAUCACG